RNAcentral lists this long non-coding RNA (603 nucleotides) under Panicum hallii. RNAcentral describes it as "long non-coding RNA (PHAL_LNC000105)". The record is from RNAcentral. Lineage: Eukaryota; Viridiplantae; Streptophyta; Magnoliopsida; Poales; Poaceae.
UUUUACAGUUGAAUCACAACAUAAAUUAAUUAAAUUCUAGUUACAUAUAUUUCUCUAGCACAUAAGUAAACUCUUUUAUGAAAUCACAGCUCAAAUUAUUGUCCAAAUAGAGCUCAGGAAAACAAACCAAAAUCGUUUUACAAAAUUUCUUAUAUGAACUCACAAAUCAGCAAAGAAAAGAUACCCUCUUACUACAUUAGAGAGCUCUCCUCCUUCACCUCCUCGCCAUCAAUAGAUCCUGAACUAGAUACAAGAAAUAAAAUGAACAAUAAUCUAUCGAAGAAGAAAAUAAGGAACCAACUGCAAACUAUUUACUGAAAAUGAUAGUAUUCUAUGAAUAAAAGUAUUUUGCAUACACCAUAUAUGUUCAUCUCUGAAAUCAAUUUGAUAAACUCUGAAACUGAACGCUAUCACACUGAACACAGCUCAUAAGACAUCAAGCGCUAGCAGAAACACAAGUAAAAAAGUCAAUAAAAGCUGUAACUACACAACUUAAGCUGUUAAUCCAAUAUUGCGAGCUGUACCUAAUUGCGAUAGAAUCAGGUAGGCGGGGGAUCAGAUGCACACCUCAGGCUUUGCUAUAUAUGUUUCGUUGAGCCAGUU